ACUUCGGUCAAGUUGAACGGAUGACUUAGUGGCGGACGGGUGAGUAACGCGUGAGGAACCUGCCUUUCAGUGGGGGACAACAGUUGGAAACGACUGCUAAUACCGCAUGACAUAUCGGAAUCACAUGAUUCUGAUAUCAAAGAUUUUAUCGCUUGAAGAUGGACUCGCGUCCGAUUAGUUAGUUGGUGAGGUAACGGCCCACCAAGGCGACGAUCGGUAGCCGGACUGAGAGGUUGAACGGCCACAUUGGGACUGAGACACGGCCCAAACUCC
RNAcentral lists this ribosomal RNA (273 nucleotides) under uncultured Oscillospiraceae bacterium. RNAcentral describes it as "partial 16S ribosomal RNA". It matches the Rfam family "Bacterial small subunit ribosomal RNA", at positions 58 to 339 of the family's 1533-position model. Lineage: Bacteria; Bacillati; Bacillota; Clostridia; Eubacteriales; Oscillospiraceae. The record is from RNAcentral.